GCCUCGUCAAUGUAGGAAGGGGGAGUAGCGUUUUUAUAGGAACGCUAACGCCUCCCACAAAUACAGGCCUUCGGCCUUUCAUAUUGUAAUCGUGAAAUACCUUGUGAUUGGAAUUAAGACGUGUUGUGUCGAAACCGACGUAGGGGUAGGCCUGUAAAAAGGGGGCAAAAAGAAAUACAGGAAAACACCCUUAUAGCAACAUGAUUACAACAUGACAAUAUAAGAUAUGCUUGUGUUACAGUACACCCAGGUAUAAGAGGGGUUAAUACCGAUGAAGAUGUUCCCUUUCCGAAUAGAGAAGCAGCAAACGAAAGCUCCAAUUAGC
Molecule: non-coding RNA, 325 nt
Organism: Pelobates cultripes (western spadefoot toad)
Lineage: Eukaryota; Metazoa; Chordata; Amphibia; Anura; Pelobatidae
Source: the annotation of a GenBank genome assembly